GAGAAAUGUGACAAAGAGCCAAAUUUAAGAUUAAAAUUAAAGUCAGUUUAGUUUUAAGACCAAGUUACUUUUGAGGCAAAAUCUGGAAAGAUGUAGUGCAGGCCUUUUAGAAUUAGUUAGACUAUGAACAAUUAUGGUUUAAUGUGAACAGUAUCUGGGAAAGCAUUACAAAACUAGGUCACUGUGACACAUUUAUGUAGAUGUCAACAAGCAAUGGGACAACUUAGCUUCAAGGUCUCUCCUCAUUGUACAUUUAAAUAUUCAGUGUGAGAGAGAAGAACCAGUUUUGUGCAAGUUGUAAUAAAUGGACAGUGUAUCUGAGAGGGAAUGCCAGUUUUGUGCAAGUUGUAAUGAAUGGACAGUGUAUCUGAGAGGGAAUGCCAGUUUUGUGCAAGUUGUAAUAAAUGGACAGUGUAUCUGAGAGGGAAUGCCAGUUUUAUGCAAGUUGUAAUAAAUGGACAGUGUAUCUGAGAGAGAAUGCCAGUUUUAUGCAAGUUGUAAUAAAUGUUAUGCAAGUUGUAAUAAAUGGACAGUGUAUCUGAGAGAGAAUGCCAAUUUUAUGCAAGUUGUAAUCGUUGGACAAUGUAUAAAUCUAAAAUAUCAAUCGUGUUUGAUCAAUCUAAAAUAUCUGUUGUGUUUGAUCAAUUUAUUAAAGUAUUAAGCAGCUUAUCCUAUCCAUCUGUUCUGCAGGUUUUU
This 696-nucleotide long non-coding RNA is filed under the name Mytilus galloprovincialis (Mediterranean mussel). Lineage: Eukaryota; Metazoa; Mollusca; Bivalvia; Mytilida; Mytilidae. The record is from RNAcentral.